CCUGGGCCCGCCAGCAAAUCAAAAAGCGUGGCAGUCCCUGGGGGGGGGGGGGGGGGGGGGGGGGGGUCGCCGCCUGAACCAUUUGGAUUCCCUCACCUGGAAUUCGAAAAACGGCGACUACUCCCCUAGAGCAGAUCCAUCUAGACUCUAGAGUACAUCCGAGGGGGAAGCGAGCAGAUCGAUGGCGAUGGCUGAGAAGGUGAAGGAGAAGAUGCUGAUGCUCCGCAGCAGCGACAACCAGGAGUUCGAGGUGAAGGAGUCGGUGGCGAUGCAAUCGAUGACCCUCAAGAAAAUGGUCGAGGACGGCUGCGCCGACAAAGGCAUCCCGCUCCCCAACGUCACCUCCCACAUCCUCGUCAAGGUCAUCGAGUAUUGCAACAAGCACGCCGAGCCGACCGGGCCGGGCGACGCGGCCGGCACCACCAACAGGUCCGCCGAGGAUGAGCUCAACAUCUUCGACGCAGACUUCGUCAAUGUAGAGCACUCCACCCUCUUGGACCUCAUCCUGGCUGCAAACUACCUGGACAUCAAGGGGCUCCUGAACCUGGCCCGCCAAACCAUUACAGACUUGAUCAAUGGGAAGAUGCCUGAGGAGGUCUGCAAGACCAACAUCAAGAACGACUUGACCAUCCCUUCCACGUCGGCCUUGGCCACCACAAUGCCCUCCUCCGAGCGAAAGCAGAUGGAGGCCAGGUUUAUCGCCUAUAUGCAAGAAACUGCUGAGGAGAGGAUGACUGGGUUUGCUGUUCGUGGUGAAAAAUACAGAAAGCAUGGUGAACGUCCGCCACAACCACCAUUGGAGAUAGUUAAAUACCCAGGUCUAUCUACCUGUGCUUAUCCUCUCUUGGAAUUGAAAGUGGAAUUGGAGUUAAUUGUUAGCUAUGCUUUCCACCUGUGAUUUGCGAUCUAAUUUAUUUUACCUCUGUAGUUCUGUUUGUUGCUCUAUCCCUUCCCGUUCUCUUUCCUUUAGCUUUUAUUUCUUUGUUACUAUAUUAAAUGAUAAUUACAGAAAGCAUGGUGAACGUCCGCCACAACCACCAUUGGAGAUAGUUAAAUACCCAGCUCUUUUGGAAAGAGCUUGGGGAUGGGAUUCGAUACUGCCGUACUGUCCUGUGAAUUCUUGGCCCCUAUACAAGACUUACCUCCAAGAAUAUUAUGAGCGCAAUUCUCGUGAAGUAUUGGCUCAUCAAGUGGAAGCUAAUGCUGCCUCUGGUCCCAAUCUCAACGGGGCUGAUGAGAAUGAUCUGGCAACUCUGUUCAACUUGUGUAUCAGUAGGGAGGUUCAACUUUUGAAUCUGCUGAAGCGCCGUGAUCAAAAACACAAUGUUGAUGAGAUCAGCCUGAAUGAAAAGCUCACCAACUGUGCCCGUCAGAUAACUUUUGUGGAAUAUGCUGGUUUUCCUUUCCCCAGUGUUGCCUUAAAGUGCAUCAUGGCGGAGUCUGAUCUGUUGUGCAUGUUGCUGAUGUGUGGGACUGGAAUGAUAUCCCAAGUCAACAUUUGCUCCAGGAUUCGAAAGGUGGCCUUCAGAUUUAUGACCUACAAAGGACCUGGAUGUUUUGCUGCUGCUGCCACCAUGAUGGCCACCACAAAGGAGGCCAAGUUGAUGAGUGGACUGCUGAGGAACAGAUGUAGGGAAAAUAAUGGUCCAUUUUCAAGGAGUGUCUUUAUCAGGAAAUGGACCAUUGCAGCUAUGUUCAGAAUAUGUGAGGAAUGUUCUCCUGUGGAAGAGUCUACAGGGGGCUACACUGCUACUAAAUUGAUACUUGAUGGAUCUGAUGACAAGAAUCCUUGUGAUAAGGAACUAGUUAAUAAGGACAACCUGCUGCAGAGGAACAAGAUAAAUCAAAAAUACCAAGGACUGUUCAAAGGAAAAACAACUAAAUGCCGACACCCUGUACAAAAGCAAGAACCAGGAGAUGGAGCAACGCCCGCAUCACCCAGUCCGGCCAAUCCCAUCUCAACUGUGGUGCAAAAACUUUGGUAAGAAGGAAUACUGAAGGACCUUCCAAACUAGCAUGAAGUGCGGGCACCUUGCUUUUCUUUUGCCUUCUUUUUGUGAAAACGUGUGCUUAGCGACAAUGCUGGCUAAGUGUUAGAAGCAUCUCUGGAAUGCUUCGUGUAGUAUCUUUUGACUCUCUUUUCUUUUGUCGUCUCAAUCAUGUUACAUGAGAAAUGCCUGAUGGACUCAAAUAAUGAACCGGUGAUUCAAAAACCAAAAGCCUCUGAUGAAUCUAUUUGAGGGUUUGGAUCUUGAUCA
Molecule: RNA transcript, 2258 nt
Organism: Zea mays
Lineage: Eukaryota; Viridiplantae; Streptophyta; Magnoliopsida; Poales; Poaceae
Exons: 9
Source: RefSeq, marked predicted